ACUACUCAUAUAAAGGCAAAGCUUACUGCUUUAUCCAUUUUGAUUCUAGUAAACGAACUUGGGAACCUUGGCUAAUCACAGAAAUCACCGAGAUGCUAUAGAGCUUGUUAGUUGCUGAAAGCUUCGGCUGCCAAAUCAAGAAACGCACUUUCAUCUAAGGUUGCCAGUGAAAUCAUUGUGUGAGAGAUCAAUGAUUCGCAAACUAGAAAAAGGAGAUAUCCCUUCAGGUUCACCUAUGAAACCAUGGAACCUAUUGGAUCUCAACACCAAGACGUGUAGCUUUGGAAGAGUUUCCAGCCACGGAGGGAAACUAUCAUUUAUCUGAUUGUUUCCAAGAUCAAGCACUUCUAACAUUUUGCAGGUGGACAAAGAUCGAGAUCAAGGGUGAGAUUUCUCUAGUCAAUUUGUUGCUUGAGAUUAAAAGCAUGUACAUGGAAGGAGGUGGAAGCGGAAGAGGUUGAUGAAGUACAUUGAAACUAAGGUCUAGAUAUUGUAAGUUGCUU
Long non-coding RNA from Hevea brasiliensis (rubber tree), 503 nucleotides. RefSeq lists it as uncharacterized. The transcript is spliced from 3 exons. NCBI's taxonomy places the organism in Eukaryota, Viridiplantae, Streptophyta, Magnoliopsida, Malpighiales, Euphorbiaceae. The record is from RefSeq and is a predicted model, not a curated record.